This 468-nucleotide ribosomal RNA is filed under the name uncultured bacterium. Its description in RNAcentral is "partial 16S ribosomal RNA". It matches the Rfam family "Bacterial small subunit ribosomal RNA", at positions 28 to 507 of the family's 1533-position model. The record is from RNAcentral.
GACGAACGCUGGCGGCGUGCUUAACACAUGCAAGUCGAACGGAAAGGCCCUGCUUUUGUGGGGUGCUCGAGUGGCGAACGGGUGCGUAACACGUGAGUAACCUGCCCUUGACUUUGGGAUAACUUCAGGAAACUGGGGCUAAUACCGGAUAGGAGCUCCUGCUGCAUGGUGGGGGUUGGAAAGUUUCGGCGGUUGGGGAUGGACUCGCGGCUUAUCAGCUUGUUGGUGGGGUAGUGGCUUACCAAGGCUUUGACGGGUAGCCGGCCUGGGAGGGUGACCGGCGACAAGGGGACUAAGAGACGGCGCAGUAGGGUACGGGAGGCAACGGUGGGGAGCAUGGCACAAUGAGCGGGAGCGUGAGACAGAGACGCCGCGUGCGGGAUGACGGCCUUCGGGUUGAGAACCGCUGUCGCCUGUGACGAAGCGGGAGUGACGGUAAUGGGUAAAGAAGCACCGGCUAACUACGUG